RNAcentral lists this transfer RNA (72 nucleotides) under Chlamydiota bacterium. Its description in RNAcentral is "Chlamydiae bacterium (freshwater metagenome) tRNA-Lys". It matches the Rfam family "tRNA". From Rfam's summary of the family: Transfer RNA (tRNA) molecules are approximately 80 nucleotides in length. Their secondary structure includes four short double-helical elements and three loops (D, anti-codon, and T loops). The record is from RNAcentral. Lineage: Bacteria; Pseudomonadati; Chlamydiota.
ACCGGCAUAGCUCAGUGGUAGAGCAUCAGGCUUUUAACCUGAGGGUCGCGGGUUCGACCCCCGCUGUCGGUA